Long non-coding RNA from Varanus komodoensis (Komodo dragon), 1257 nucleotides. RefSeq lists it as uncharacterized. The transcript has 3 exons. Lineage: Eukaryota; Metazoa; Chordata; Lepidosauria; Squamata; Varanidae. The record is from RefSeq and is a predicted model, not a curated record.
GAACACUGGGUUAUAUCACAUCACUUUUGGUAGAUGGCAGAAGGGUGUUGGCUAUGUCAUUUUGGCUGCAAAGCACGUGCUUCUGUGUAAGGUUUCAGUUCCCGUAUCAGGAAAAAUGCAAGUGAAAAGGAAGCCCUGUAUGCAUAGGAAUUAAAUACGGCUCUCCCAAAGAUGCAAGGUGCCACAUUCUCCCUUCUCUCCAGCUCCUCAAAGCAACCACCGGCCAAAAGCAACAAACUUUAGGCCAUUUGCUGUGCCCAAAAAGUGAGAGGGCAGAAGAAAGUGUGGGAGAAGAAGAUAAACACACAACUGUUUGUCAACAUGAGUGAAAAAAACUGAGAAGAGCAAGAGCAGAGAGAUUCCCAGGGAAGGAAGAAAAGGCACCCUCUCAAAGGGCUGUCCAGCUCAAUCAUUAAACAGCUUCCACUGAUUCUUUAGCACCUCAGAUGCCGGAAAGGUAAGCCAGUUUCCUCUCAUCUCAUUUUUCCUUAACUUCUUUAAUGUUGCAAGGGUUUUCGGAAGGAGCCAUCUUCAAAUAUUAGCUGGUGGAGAAAUGCUAGCUUUUUUGUGAAUCAUUUUUCUGACAAUGGCAUGCAUCACAGAUGUGACCAUGGCAAGAACCCCUGAACACUGAAAACUACAGAGAGUUACAUGCAGAAGAACCCAGAUUCAGUUAGGCCAUUUUCUGAAUCUAACUGAAUCAACAGUAUUCAGUUCUUGAAUGAAGAUUUGGACAAAUUUUAAGCGCUGCCCCACUUAUUGUCCUGCUUUCCCUCUCAUCUGUCCCAGGCUGCUAAUAUUUACUUCAAACAAUCUAAAACAAGCAUCUCUCUCUCUCUCUCUCUCUCUCUCUCUCUCUCUCUCUCUCUCUCUCUGUUAGCAACCAUAGAGCUACUGGCCCCUCAAAUUUCAUUAACUUGUAGAUGCAUGUAGAGUUUGGGGGACUCAGUUUCCCAAAUUUCUCCAGAGGGGAGAGAAAUUCUCCAACCAUUUCUGACACAUUUCUCUUUUGUGCUCAUGGCAUAAUGGGACAGUUUUGGACCCCCAAGUUAUCAGCUUCCUCUUCCUUCUCUUCUAACACCUUUUCUCUUUUGUGUCACAUCCUCCAGAUCGAAAGUCCAAAGGUGGGGCCUGUGCCCUUUUUAUGACUUUGCCUUCAUACAGGAACCAGGAAAUAUUAGGAGUAAUAUGAAGGUAAGUAUAGUGUUUAGCCAGCAUUUCUUUGCAAGAAAUGCUGCAGGUGUUGGAGCAGCUCCC